UUUUUUUUGUUUUAGAAACUUUGUAGGUUUCUCAUGGAUGGAGAUGCCUUUACUCGUACUUAGCAAUAUGUAUAAU
RNAcentral lists this small RNA (76 nucleotides) under Arabidopsis thaliana (thale cress). RNAcentral describes it as "ATSL133080". Lineage: Eukaryota; Viridiplantae; Streptophyta; Magnoliopsida; Brassicales; Brassicaceae. The record is from RNAcentral.